ACACAUGCAAGUCGAACGGUAAGGCCCCUUCGGGGGUACACGAGUGGCGAACGGGUGAGUAACACGUGGGUGAUCUGCCCUGCACUCUGGGAUAAGCCUGGGAAACUGGGUCUAAUACCGGAUAUGAGCUCCUGUCGCAUGGCGGGGGUUGGAAAGGUUUACUGGUGCAGGAUGGGCCCGCGGCCUAUCAGCUUGUUGGUGGGGUAAUGGCCUACCAAGGCGACGACGGGUAGCCGGCCUGAGAGGGCGACCGGCCACACUGGGACUGAGACACGGCCCAGACUCCUACGGGAGGCAGCAGUGGGGAAUAUUGCACAAUGGGCGAAAGCCUGAUGCAGCGACGCCGCGUGAGGGAUGACGGCCUUCGGGUUGUAAACCUCUUUCAGCAGGGACGAAGCGAGAGUGACGGUACCUGCAGAAGAAGCACCGGCCAACUACGUGCCAGCAGCCGCGGUAAUACGUAGGGUGCGAGCGUUGUCCGGAAUUACUGGGCGUAAAGAGCUCGUAGGCGGUUUGUCGCGUCGUCCGUGAAAACUUGGGGCUCAACCCCAAGCUUGCGGGCGAUACGGGCAGACUUGAGUACUGCAGGGGAGACUGGAAUUCCUGGUGUAGCGGUGAAAUGCGCAGAUAUCAGGAGGAACACCGGUGGCGAAGGCGGGUCUCUGGGCAGUAACUGACGCUGAGGAGCG
This 689-nucleotide ribosomal RNA is filed under the name Rhodococcus (subgen. Prescottella) equi. Its description in RNAcentral is "Prescottella equi bacterial SSU rRNA". It matches the Rfam family "Bacterial small subunit ribosomal RNA", at positions 51 to 755 of the family's 1533-position model. Lineage: Bacteria; Bacillati; Actinomycetota; Actinomycetes; Mycobacteriales; Nocardiaceae. The record is from RNAcentral.